GUGGGGAAUUUUGGACAAUGGGCGCAAGCCUGAUCCAGCCAUUCCGCGUGCAGGAUGAAGGCCUUCGGGUUGUAAACUGCUUUUGUACGGAACGAAAAGCCUCUGGUUAAUACCCGGGGGUCAUGACGGUACCGUAAGAAUAAGCACCGGCUAACUACGUGCCAGCAGCCGCGGUAAUACGUAGGGUGCGAGCGUUAAUCGGAAUUACUGGGCGUAAAGCGUGCGCAGGCGGUGAUGUAAGACAGUUGUGAAAUCCCCGGGCUCAACCUGGGAACUGCAUCUGUGACUGCAUUGCUGGAGGGCGGCAGAGGGGGAUGGAAUUCCGCGUGUAGCAGUGAAAUGCGUAGAUAUGCGGAGGAACACCGAUGGCGAAGGCAAUCCCCUGGGCCUGCACUGACGCUCAUGCACGAAAGCGUGGGGAGCAAACAGGAUUAGAAACCCGGGUAGUCC
Molecule: ribosomal RNA, 450 nt
Filed under: uncultured bacterium
Lineage: Bacteria
Description: partial 16S ribosomal RNA
Rfam family: Bacterial small subunit ribosomal RNA
Source: RNAcentral